CGACCCAGGAAUGCUUGGGCGUGCCUCCACCCACGCCGGCGUCGGCGGGCGUAUUUCGCCUCACAGUAGGUCGCCGCGACCCGUUGCUUUUGGGGACGUCGAAGGCCCGGACGGAUUGGUACCCUACCGGCUGGGGAUGCGGCUUCGGCUUCUCCUCUUGUCCGGUGGGCGAAACCGCCGGUGUCCUGGCUGCCCUGCGACGGUCGUAGAGACGAGCCCUCCCCAUUCGUGGGGGGCGGCUCUCGCGGCGUGCAAAAGGUCGGUGAUCCACCCGACCCGUCUUGAAACACGGACCAAGGAGUCUAACAUGUGUGCGAGUCAGUGGGCGCACUAAACCCAGAGGCGUAAUGAAAGUGACACGGGUUCGGCUGUCGCCUCGUGUGGCAGCCGGACUCAGGGCCGAUCCCUCACCGGUUGCCCUCGCCUUUCUCCCGCGUCUCGGUAAGCCGGGUGAGCUAUUUUCCCCGGCCAAUGCUGCGGGGCUCGGGGGGAGGCGGGGUUGCGAUGGUGUCCGUAAAAAAGAGCCUGCUGUUGCAGGGGGGCGCAGGCCCGGGACUUGCCAGGACGCCGCGAGACUGUCACUUUGCUGUGAGGCUCCAGGGCCGAUCAGCGGGUCAUGCGUGCAGUCGGCAAGUACCAUGAGCAGACAUGUUGGGACCCGAAAGAUGGUGAACUAUGCCUGGCCAGGAUGAAGCCAGAGGAAACUCUGGUGGAGGUCCGUAGCGAUUCUGACGUGCAAAUCGAUCGUCGGAGCUGGGUAUAGGGGCGA
Molecule: ribosomal RNA, 769 nt
Filed under: Cambarus manningi
Lineage: Eukaryota; Metazoa; Arthropoda; Malacostraca; Decapoda; Cambaridae
Description: eukaryotic LSU rRNA
Rfam family: Eukaryotic large subunit ribosomal RNA (bases 293-769)
Source: RNAcentral